This 225-nucleotide unclassified non-coding RNA is filed under the name plant metagenome. Its description in RNAcentral is "partial contains small subunit ribosomal RNA, internal transcribed spacer 1, and 5.8S ribosomal RNA". The record is from RNAcentral.
UUUCCGUAGGUGAACCAGCGGAAGGAUCAUUAGUGAAUUGAUUAUGUUCGCGGACCUCUUCGGAGUCCCUCGCUUCAAAUCAUAUCCAUAACCCCUGUGAACUGUACGGCUCUCUUGAAAACGAAAGUGAUUAGAACGCGUGCCCAUUUUAUACAAACAUUAAAGUAACUAACGUAGACUAAUUAUAAUAUAAUAAAACUUUCAACAACGGAUCUCUUGGCUCUC